CUAAAACGUCCGUAGCCUGUUCUGUAGUUUUCGGGUAAAUCAAUAAGCUCACUUAUGGGCUGCCGAGAUCACUGGCAGACUUGGGAGCGGGAGAGGUGUACGGUACUCGGUGGGAAGGGGUAAAAUCCUUUGAUCUAUUGAUGACCACCUGUGGCGAAGGCGGUCUACCAGAACACGAUUCGACGGUGAGGGAUGAAAGCUGGGGGAGCAAACCGGAUUAGAUACCCGGGUAGUCCCAGGUGUAAACGAUGCGGACUUGAUGAUGGGUUGGCUUGUUGCUUCCGCAGUGUCGCAGGGAAGCCGUUAAGUUUGCCGCCUGGGAAGUACGUACGCAAGUAUGAAAACUUAAAGGAAUUGGCGG
RNAcentral lists this ribosomal RNA (361 nucleotides) under uncultured archaeon. RNAcentral's name for it is "bacterial SSU rRNA". It matches the Rfam family "Archaeal small subunit ribosomal RNA", at positions 510 to 871 of the family's 1478-position model. The record is from RNAcentral.